RNAcentral lists this ribosomal RNA (535 nucleotides) under uncultured bacterium. RNAcentral describes it as "bacterial SSU rRNA". It matches the Rfam family "Bacterial small subunit ribosomal RNA", at positions 336 to 864 of the family's 1533-position model. The record is from RNAcentral.
CUCCUACGGGAGGCAGCAGUGGGGAAUUUUGGACAAUGGGGGCAACCCUGAUCCAGCCAUGCCGCGUGCGGGAAGAAGGCCUUCGGGUUGUAAACCGCUUUUAGUCGGGAAGAAAAGGCCAGGCCCAAUACGUCUGGUUCUUGACGGUACCGGCGGAAUAAGCACCGGCUAACUACGUGCCAGCAGCCGCGGUAAUACGUAGGGUGCGAGCGUUAAUCGGAAUUACUGGGCGUAAAGCGUGCGCAGGCGGUUCGUUAAGUCUGAUGUGAAAGCCCCGGGCUCAACCUGGGAAUGGCAUUGGAAACUGGCGGGCUGGAGUGUGGCAGAGGGGGGUGGAAUUCCGCGUGUAGCAGUGAAAUGCGUAGAGAUGCGGAGGAACACCGAUGGCGAAGGCAGCCCCCUGGGCUGACACUGACGCUCAGGCACGAAAGCGUGGGGAGCAAACAGGAUUAGAUACCCUGGUAGUCCACGCCCUAAACGAUGAUCACUGGGUGUUCGGGGAGCGAUCUCUGAGUACCGUAGCUAACGCGUGAAG